This 253-nucleotide ribosomal RNA is filed under the name uncultured bacterium. RNAcentral describes it as "partial 16S ribosomal RNA". It matches the Rfam family "Bacterial small subunit ribosomal RNA", at positions 524 to 776 of the family's 1533-position model. The record is from RNAcentral.
UACGAAGGGUGCAAGCGUUGUUCGGAAUCAUUGGGCGUAAAGGGCGCGUAGGCGGGUUUGUAAGUCGCAUGUGAAAACCCUAGGCUUAACCUGGGACCUGCAUGCGAUACUGCAAGUCUUGAAUGUCUGAGAGGAAGGCGGAAUUCCAGGUGUAGAAGUGAAAUUCGUAGAUAUCUGGAGGAACAUCCGAGGCGAAGGCGGCCUUCUGGUCCAGUACUGACACUCAAGUGCGAAAGCGUGGGGAGCAAACAGG